AUUGAACGCUGGCGGCAUGCCUUACACAUGCAAGUCGAACGGCAGCACGGGAGCUUGCUCCUGGUGGCGAGUGGCGAACGGGUGAGUAAUACAUCGGAACGUACCCUGAAGUGGGGGAUAACGUAGCGAAAGUUACGCUAAUACCGCAUAUUCUGUGAGCAGGAAAGAGGGGGAUCGCAAGACCUCUUGCUUUAGGAGCGGCCGAUGUCGGAUUAGCUAGUUGGUGAGGUAGAGGCUCACCAAGGCGACGAUCCGUAGCGGGUCUGAGAGGAUGAUCCGCCACACUGGGACUGAGACACGGCCCAGACUCCUACGGAGGCAGCAGUGGGGAAUUUUGGACAAUGGGCGCAAGCCUGAUCCAGCCAUGCCGCGUGAGUGAAGAAGGCCU
Molecule: ribosomal RNA, 388 nt
Filed under: uncultured bacterium
Lineage: Bacteria
Description: bacterial SSU rRNA
Rfam family: Bacterial small subunit ribosomal RNA
Source: RNAcentral